GACGAACGCUGGCGGCGUGCUUAACGCAUGCAAGUCGAACGGAAAGGCCCUGCUUUUGUGGGGUGCUCGAGUGGCGAACGGGUGAGUAACACGUGAGUAACCUGCCCUUGACUUUGGGAUAACUUCAGGAAACUGGGGCUAAUACCGGAUAGGAGCUCCUGCUGCAUGGUGGGGGUUGGAAAGUUUCGGCGGUUGGGGAUGGACUCGCGGCUUAUCAGCUUGUUGGUGGGGUAGUGGCUUACCAAGGCUUUGACGGGUAGCCGGCCUGAGAGGGUGACAGGCCAAAUUGGGACUGAGAUGCGGCACAGACUCCUACGGGAGGCAGCAGUGGGGAAUAUUGCACGAUGGGCGGAAGCCUGAUGCAGCAAAGCCGCGUGCGGGAUGACGGCCUUCGGGUUGUAAACCGCUUUCGCCUGUGACGAAGCGUGAGUGACGGUAAUGGGUAAAGAAGCACCGGCUAACUACGUG
This 468-nucleotide ribosomal RNA is filed under the name uncultured bacterium. RNAcentral's name for it is "partial 16S ribosomal RNA". It matches the Rfam family "Bacterial small subunit ribosomal RNA", at positions 28 to 507 of the family's 1533-position model. The record is from RNAcentral.